This 496-nucleotide ribosomal RNA is filed under the name uncultured bacterium. Its description in RNAcentral is "partial 16S ribosomal RNA". It matches the Rfam family "Bacterial small subunit ribosomal RNA", at positions 29 to 507 of the family's 1533-position model. The record is from RNAcentral.
AUGCACGCUGGCGGCGUGCCUCAUCCAUGCAAGUCGAGCGAACGGACGAGAAGCUUGCUUCUCUGAUGUUAGCGGCGGACGGGUGAGUAACACGUGGAUAACCUACCUAUAAGACUGGGAUAACUUCGGGAAACCGGAGCUAAUACCGGAUAAUAUUUUGAACCGCAUGGUUCAAAAGUAAAAGACGGUCUUGCUGUCACUUAUAGAUGGAUCCGCGCUGCAUUAGCUAGUUGGUAAGGUAACGGCUUACCAAGGCAACGAUGCAUAGCCGACCUGAGAGGGUGAUCGGCCACACUGGAACUGAGACACGGUCCAGACUCCUACGGGAGGCAGCAGUAGGGAAUCUUCCGCAAUGGGCGAAAGCCUGACGGAGCAACGCCGCGUGAGUGAUGAAGGUCUUCGGAUCGUAAAACUCUGUUAUUAGGGAAGAACAUAUGUGUAAGUAACUGUGCACAUCUUGACGGUACCUAAUCAGAAAGCCACGGCUAACUACGUG